AUUGAACGCUGGCGGCAGGCCUAACACAUGCAAGUCGAACGAGUGGCGGACGGGUGAGUAAUGUCUGGGAAACUGCUUGAUGGAGGGGGAUAACUACUGGAAACGGUAGCUAAUACCGCAUACCAUCGGAUUUGCCCAGAUGGGAUUAGCUAGUAGGUGGGGUAAAGGCGCACCUAGGCGACGAUCCCUAGCGGGUCUGAGAGGAUGACCGGCCACACUGGAACUGAGACACGGUCCAGACUCCUACGGGAGGCAGCAGGGGGGAAUAUUGCCAAAUGGGCGCAAGCCUGAUGCAGCCAUGACGCGUGUAUGAAGAAGGCCUUCGGGUUGUAAAGUACUUUCAGCGGGGAGGCGUUACCCACAGAAGAAGCACCGGCUAACUCCGUGCCAGCCGCCGCGGUAAUAC
This 406-nucleotide ribosomal RNA is filed under the name uncultured bacterium. RNAcentral's name for it is "partial 16S ribosomal RNA". It matches the Rfam family "Bacterial small subunit ribosomal RNA", at positions 30 to 526 of the family's 1533-position model. The record is from RNAcentral.